UUCUUGGUGUAGGGCACAUUAAAUUUUGAUUUUAAAAGGAAUAGAUCAAUCUAUUGGAAUUAA
RNAcentral lists this transfer RNA (63 nucleotides) under Ornithodoros tholozani. Its description in RNAcentral is "tRNA-Gln". Lineage: Eukaryota; Metazoa; Arthropoda; Arachnida; Ixodida; Argasidae. The record is from RNAcentral.